This 253-nucleotide ribosomal RNA is filed under the name uncultured bacterium. Its description in RNAcentral is "partial 16S ribosomal RNA". It matches the Rfam family "Bacterial small subunit ribosomal RNA", at positions 524 to 776 of the family's 1533-position model. The record is from RNAcentral.
UACGUAGGGGCCCAGCGUUGUCCGGAUUCAUUGGGCGUAAAGCGCGCGCAGGCGGCCCGGUGUGCCGCCCGUGAAAUCCCCCGGCUCAACCGGGGGGGGUCGGGCGAGACUGGCGGGCUGGAGGCGGGUAGGGGGCAGCGGAAUUCCCGGUGUAGUGGUGGAAUGCGUAGAUAUCGGGAGGAACACCAGUGGCGAAGGCGGUUGCCUGGACCCGGCCUGACGCUGAGACGCGAAAGCGUGGGGAGCGAUCCGG